Molecule: ribosomal RNA, 548 nt
Filed under: Vachellia tortilis subsp. raddiana
Lineage: Eukaryota; Viridiplantae; Streptophyta; Magnoliopsida; Fabales; Fabaceae
Description: SSU rRNA
Rfam family: Eukaryotic small subunit ribosomal RNA
Source: RNAcentral
UUGGAGGGCAAGUCUGGUGCCAGCAGCCGCGGUAAUUCCAGCUCCAAUAGCGUAUAUUAAAGUUGCUGCAGUUAAAAAGCUCGUAGUUGAAUUUCGGGACCAUCAUGUCGGUCGUGCCUCGGUACCCACUGGUAUUGUUGGUUUCUCCCUUCUGACGAACCAUGAUGUCAUUUAUUUGGUGUUGUGGGGAAUCAGGACUGUUACUUUGAAAAAAUUAGAGUGUUUAAAGCAGGCUCACGCUUGAAUACAUUAGCAUGGAAUAAUGAAAUAGGACGUUUGAUUCUAUUUUGUUGGUUUCUAGGAUCGACGUAAUGAUUAAUAGGGAUAGUUGGGGGCAUUAGUUUUCAAUUGUCAGAGGUGAAAUUCUUGGAUUUAUUGAAGACUAACUACUGCGAAAGCAUUUGCAAAGGAUGUUUUCAUUAAUCAAGAACGAAAGUUAGGGGAUCGAAGACGAUCAGAUACCGUCGUAGUCUUAACCAUAAACUAUGCCGACUAGGGAUCGGAUGAUGUUAAUUUUUUAAUGACUCAUUCGGCGCCUUACGGGAAAC